CGCGGGGUAGAGCAGCCCGGUAGCUCGUCAGGCUCAUAACCUGAAGGUCGUAGGUUCAAAUCCUGCCCCCGCAACCA
Molecule: transfer RNA, 77 nt
Filed under: Paracoccus pantotrophus
Lineage: Bacteria; Pseudomonadati; Pseudomonadota; Alphaproteobacteria; Rhodobacterales; Paracoccaceae
Also listed under: 4 other names
Description: tRNA-Met
Rfam family: tRNA
About the family: Transfer RNA (tRNA) molecules are approximately 80 nucleotides in length. Their secondary structure includes four short double-helical elements and three loops (D, anti-codon, and T loops). Further hydrogen bonds mediate the characteristic L-shaped molecular structure. tRNAs have two regions of fundamental functional importance: the anti-codon, which is responsible for specific mRNA codon recognition, and the 3' end, to which the tRNAs corresponding amino acid is attached (by aminoacyl-tRNA synthetases). tRNAs cope with the degeneracy of the genetic code in two manners: having more than one tRNA (with a specific anti-codon) for a particular amino acid; and 'wobble' base-pairing, i.e. permitting non-standard base-pairing at the 3rd anti-codon position.
Source: RNAcentral